GAAUGUGAGGGAGAGGUCUGGCUGCAACACCUGUCACCCCUCCAGUCACCAGGCUUGAUUCAGCUGAUCUGGCUGGCUAGGUAGGCGUUCCCUUCCUCCCUCCCUCCUUC
This 110-nucleotide small nuclear RNA is filed under the name Erinaceus europaeus (western European hedgehog). Its description in RNAcentral is "7SK RNA". It matches the Rfam family "7SK RNA", at positions 1 to 108 of the family's 331-position model. From Rfam's summary of the family: 7SK was discovered as an abundant small nuclear RNA in the mid-70s but a possible function has only recently been suggested. Two independent studies have found that 7SK RNA binds the CDK9/cyclin T complex (known as elongation factor P-TEFb). The record is from Rfam by way of RNAcentral. Lineage: Eukaryota; Metazoa; Chordata; Mammalia; Eulipotyphla; Erinaceidae.